This 502-nucleotide ribosomal RNA is filed under the name uncultured bacterium. RNAcentral describes it as "partial 16S ribosomal RNA". It matches the Rfam family "Bacterial small subunit ribosomal RNA", at positions 30 to 523 of the family's 1533-position model. The record is from RNAcentral.
AUUGAACGCUGGCGGCAGGCUUAACACAUGCAAGUCGAGCGGGGUGAUGGUGCUUGCACUAUCACUUAGCGGCGGACGGGUGAGUAAUGCUUAGGAAUCUGCCUCUUAGUGGGGACAACAUCUCGAAAGGGAUGCUAAUACCGCAUACGUCCUACGGGAGAAAGCAGGGGAUCACUUGUGACCUUGCGCUAAUUGAUGAGCCUAAGUCGGGUUAGCUAGUUGGUGGGGUAAGGGCCUACCAAGGCGACGAUCUGUAGCGGGUCUGAGAGGAUGAUCCGCCACACUGGGACUGAGACACGGCCCAGACUCCUACGGGAGGCAGCAGUGGGGAAUAUUGGACAAAGGGGGGAACCCUGAUCCAGCCAGGCCGCGUGUGUGAAGAAGGCCUUAUGGUUGUAAAGCACUUUAAGCGAGGAGGAGGCUCUUUUGGUUAAUACCCAAGAUGAGUGGACGUUACUCGCAGAAUAAGCACCGGCUAACUCUGUGCCAGCCGCCGCGGUAA